GAUGGGGUGGCUGCGGGAUGGGCCUUCUCCCCAGCAGCCCUUCGAAGAUACUGCUAUACUUCCGGUUGGCUCUUCAUCAGCCCCUAACCCUGGGGGUUGGGCGUUUGCUCUCUGCUGGGAAAGUUGGUUCAUUUCACAUUCAUUUCCUGGGCAUCUACCAUGCGCCAGGCACAGGGCAUCCAAUGGUCUUGCUCCCAAGUGGUGUUCUGUCCAGGGAAGCAGGCAAUGCCAGCCCAGCAGGAUUGACGUGAAGAGGGGGAAACUUGGGGCACCUGUCCCAGGAUUGGGGGCAGAAAAAGCCUCUGAGAGAGGGAUGUCUAUGUGGCGUCCCGAAGGAUGCAGCAGCCGGGUAGGUGAGCAGGGUGCCGGGGAGCCAGGGCGUGCGUGUGUUGGGGAGACAGAGGGAGACAGGGAGAGGGACAGAGGUUGAAGGCAGAAGCUCUUGAGGAGGAAACCAUGGGAGCGGGUGAGCUGUCCUGGAGUGCAGAUCCGGAGGGGCUAGGUCCUGGGCACGGGGACAGAUUGGUCCUCACUGCCCUCCCAACAGAUGAGGCGGCGAGGCUCAUAUGGCUGUGGCUGGAUAGAGGAGGGGGCGACCCCGGCCCUGACCAUGGGGGCUGGCUCCAGGACAGCCCCUCCUCCCUGCAAGCCAUAAUUCCUGAACCAAAUCUGGGGGCCCUGGAGUACAGUGGUCAUCUCCAGGGCAUGGCUAGCUGCCUGUCUCUGGAGACUCCCAAGGAGAGCUGCUUGACCUUGAGGAUGGCCAUGCAGAGAGGAUGCCUGGGGGCCGUGCAGGGACCCCUUGGAGGGGCCAGGGCACAGCUGACCUGCCUCCCAGUCCUUCCUGGGUGAGGGCUUCUCCGUGGCUGCAGGGACCAGCACAGGGCUCUCUGUUUACUCCAGGACAGGUCCAGGCCACUUUGGGCUCAGCAUGCAGACCCCAGAGAGCCCAGGCCUUGGCGUGGUCCAGGCUGUGGUGUGGUUGGUGCUGUGGGGUCUCUCGCUCCUGCAGACUUGGCUCCAGUCCCAGCUGUGACAGCGCCACAGAUGCCACCCAGUGGCAUCUGGUCUGAAAAGGAAUCUAGUCUUGCCAGUCCUGCAGGGCUCUGCUUCUAGUGCCCUAGAAAUCCAAAGGGAGCGCUAGUCUGGACUGUUCCGAGACACUAGGUGGAAAUGAGCCAACUCUGCUUGUCCCCAGAGGCCUAUGCAUUUAGAUGCACAGAGGCCUGGAAAGUUCUUUAGCUGAACAUUGGAAAACAGCUUACGUCAUCCCCCCGCACCCGCCCCAAGAAGCUGUCAGGAAAUCCCCUUGUUCCUGGGUGAGAACCCGGCCUUCAGGAGUGGUGACCUUGAGAGGGUGCCACCCUUGGCUCCCAUUAGGAGCCCUGCAGCAUGGCACCCUUCAAGGGGCAGCCAUCCCUGGGGUGUGAUCAGAGGGGAGGCACCUGGCCCUGCCUGCCUGCUGAGCCACUCCUGCCUGCCGGUGCCUCCCGCCUGCCAGUGCUGUGUGGGUGUUCUGCCCUUCUCCCUCCUCCUCCCGCUCUGCCCAGGUGCCCUGCACAUGUAUGCCCGCACACCCAAGCACGGUUGAGCACGUGUGUGUUGGCAGACACAGGUGUCCCUACACACCAUGCAUCCACACACAUUUGCACACCUGUGCACGUUGGCCUGCCUGCCUCUGCAGACACAUGCACACUUUCGCAGCACAUCUGCACAUCUGCAUACCACACACCAUUCAACCUGAACACCUGCACAGGGGCAUUUGCACACACGCUUACAUGCCUGCAUCACAGCAGACUUGUACACAUGAACACCUGCUCGUUCACACCCACACACAGCGGCAUACACCUCUGCCUCAGUCUCCCAGUGGCUGCCCUCUCCCUGGCCCUCUCCACCUGGGAGCCACCCCUGGAAGGGGCUGGCCUUGUGUCCCGUAUCUCUGGCUGUCUAUCUCUCCCAUGCAGGAGGCUUCGUGCAGACAGCCAGACAUCUCAGCUCGAGGUGGCCGCAGCUGUGCAGACACAGCAGAGGGGCGAGGCUGAGAGGAGACCACAUGCUUGCUCAGGGUCCCUGAAGCUCCUGCCCCCAGAGAGUGGUGGAGCCGUGUGUGUGUGUGUGUGUGUGUGUGUGAGGUGGCUUGGGGGGAGGGGUGCAAGAGGCCACCUCCCCUGGUCUCUUCAGUCUCCAAGACAGAACGAGGCCUCCUGCUCCAGGAGAAGGGAAAGCCAUGUCCUGCUGGUGCACAAAUGGGCUCCCAGGUGCUCUUCCUCUGGCCUCAGCCUCUCUCUUCUUUGGGUCCUGUAAACAGAAUUUGGAGGACAGUGGCCCCUCAGAUGAGCCCUGACCUGCUCUACAGGGCUUACCCCUUGACCCUGGGCACCGUGCAAAUUGGCAUGCAAUGGUGCCCCUGGAGUCGCACCGUGUGGGGUUGGCGCAGGAGGCAGCAGCCCUGCCCAUCUAGCAGCUUUGGCCUGUCAGCCCAGCUCCGCCUCUGCCACAGGGAGGAGGCCAGGGUGGAGUUACAGGCACCUGGCAGGUCUGGCUGGGCCACCACUGCACCCUGUCUGUGGAGUCCGAGUGGUUGUGGCACCAGGGGGACGGCCUGGCUGAGUAACAAUGCUGACCAGGGGACACACGUCUCUGCUGUGUGCCCCGCAUGGCUCCAGGCGUGUUCCUGGCGGAAUCUGAUGCAGUGAUUCAGAGACAGUCUACCACUACCCCGGCCAUGUCAGGUGAGCCCUGGCCACACAGCUAAGAAGCAGCAAGCAGGUUUGAUCUGAUCUGCACUCAGGCAGGCUCUAGGACCGCAGUCCAACCACUGGCCGUCCAGCCGCUCACGGAGACUCGAUGCUUGCAGGCAUUGCUCCCCUCUGUUUUCCAGGGACACAACUGCCAGCAGCCCCCUCUCCUCAAGGGCACUUGACCCAGACACUUUGCCUUGGCGGUGGGCAGCCAAGGAACCAUUUCUCUCCUGGGAAGGGGCCUGGGUUCUCCAGCUCGAUCCUUCUCAGAGAUGGUCCUGUGGGUAGAGGGAGGUGGCCAGGAAGGUCAGUUCAAGAUGGAUAGGGGAGGGGCAUGGAUGGAGGCCUGUUAGAGCUUUCUGAAGCACCCAGCCUAGCUGGGGUGCUGGGGAGUCCUUAGCUGGCCUCUGCGGGCUCUUCUGUAGAGCCUGUGUCCAGGUGGGCGGGAGGAGUCAGUGCUGGCCUGAGUUCCUGGGGUGACCAGGCCUGGAACCUACCCUCCUGGGACGCCAGGCCUCUUCCCCUCCACCUGGGACCUCAAGUUCUCACCUUCAAGGCAGAGGAGACAAUCCAUUGUCCCUGUCUCUAGCAUGGCUCCAACAGAGGCCAGCAGAGGCCUGGCACCUACCUGGCCUCCUACGGCCCUGACCUCACUGCUGCGGUGAGGCCAGACCCCCACCAUCUCCCCCCUCUGUGUUCAGGAGGGAAGCGGGAGGCUCAUCUCCCAGCCCCCAGCUGCUCCCAAGCCCUGCUGCCCGCGGGUGGCCCUCGGCCCUCGGGACCCUUCAGCAGUGAAGUUCCCGGGAAGAAGAACCUCACAGCGAACAAAUUGCUGCCCGGCAGACCCGUUCCUUCUGAGCCUCAUUUUCCCUCCUUUCAUGCCAACUUUCCCACUAUUAAGAGCAUUUUGAAAGAGAAGAUGAAAAGAGAGAGAGAGAGAAAGAGGGAAGAGAGGGCGAGGGACACCUGGGAUCCCCCAGCGCCUGCUGCUGCGAGCCGAGAAGAAGGGGAGGACGCGGAGGGGGCUUUCCCGUCACCCCUCCUGGGGGCUGAGUCAGGGCAGCAGGGGAGGUGAGCGACAGGCAUCUGGCCGGCCCUGCAGCCCCGGGCUGCCCCUCCCUGGCCUCUGGCCUGUGCCUGGCACCUGUUGGUACUUACUCAAUAAUUUCUUGUUGAAUGAAAAAAAAAUAAUCAACAGAUGGAGGGUGGCUGCAGUCUCCUGGGGGAGGGGGGCGCCACACCUCCUCCAUGGGGUUCUAAGGCCAAGACAAACAGACUCAGCCAGGGGGCAACUAAGUCAUGCCGGAAGAAUAUGGUGAGCCGCUGACAUCGGUGCAUGCAGUGACGGAGGCAGCGCCAGUGUCACAGGAGCUGGGAGUGAGCUGCCUGCUGGGUCCAGCUGAGGAAAUUCAGGAACUUGCCGAGAAGAUUCGAUGGGAUGGUGCCUAUGGGAUGGAGGGGAGAAACGGCAGGUGUGUGAAGGGUGGACUGGAGGCCCGGCCAGCGGAGUGACCCCUGGAAAGUCACCGUGACUCCUGUGAGGGAGACCCAGGGAGGAAAGGAAACGGGCUGUCAGUGGGUGAGAUGGGGAAGGAGCGACAGCAGGCUCCCCUUACCAGGCAUUCUGGAACUCUCUAGAACUCGCCCGGGCCAGGAAGGGCUGGGGUGGGGACGUGACAGCAAGGGGGCAGGAGGGAGUUUGGGGGCACAUGAAAAUGAGGGAGUGUGGAUGUAGUCUCACAACCACGUCCAGGUGUCAAAAUCCCUCAAAUAGACCCCUAAAGCUGGUGGGUGUAUGGCAUGUCAGUUGUGCCUCAGAGAAACUGUGGUUUUUGAGAAGCGACCACUGACUGCAGCCCUCUGUUCCAGGCAUGAGCCGAGCUGUCAACACAGGGUGUCGGUAUUCACAUUGAUGUCAAUGUUUAUAGCAGCACAAUUCACAAUAGCUAAACUGUGGAGCCAACCUAGAUGUCCUUCAGUGGAUGAAUGGAUUAAAACAAUGUGGCAUUUAUACACAAUGGAAUAUUACUCAGCAAUAAAAAAAAAUAAGAUCAUGGCAUUUGCAGGGAAGUGGAUGGCAUUAGAGCAGAUUAUGCUAAGUGAAGUUAGCCAAUCCCCCCAAAAAACAAAUGCUGAAUGUCUUUUCUGAUAUAAGGGGAGUGACUCAAAAUGGGAUUGGGAGGGAGAG
RNAcentral lists this long non-coding RNA (4929 nucleotides) under Marmota monax (woodchuck). Lineage: Eukaryota; Metazoa; Chordata; Mammalia; Rodentia; Sciuridae. The record is from RNAcentral.